ACGGGUGAGUAAUGUCUGGGAAACUGCCCGAUGGAGGGGGAUAACUACUGGAAACGGUAGCUAAUACCGCAUAACGUCGCGAGACCAAAGUGGGGGACCUUCGGGCCUCACACCAUCGGAUGUGCCCAGAUGGGAUUAGCUAGUAGGUGGGGUAACGGCUCACCUAGGCGACGAUCCCUAGCUGGUCUGAGAGGAUGACCAGCCACACUGGAACUGAGACACGGUCCAGACUCCUACGGGAGGCAGCAGUGGGGAAUAUUGCACAAUGGGCGCAAGCCUGAUGCAGCCAUGCCGCGUGUAUGAAGAAGGCCUUCGGGUUGUAAAGUACUUUCAGCGGGGAGGAAGGCGAUGUGGUUAAUAACCGCGUCGAUUGACGUUACCCGCAGAAGAAGCACCGGCUAACUCCGUGCCAGCAGCCGCGGUAAUACGGAGGGUGCAAGCGUUAAUCGGAAUUACUGGGCGUAAAGCGCACGCAGGCGGUCUGUCAAGUCGGAUGUGAAAUCCCCGGGCUUAACCUGGGAACUGCAUUCGAAACUGGCAGGCUAGAGUCUUGUAGAGGGGGGUAGAAUUCCAGGUGUAGC
Molecule: ribosomal RNA, 581 nt
Filed under: uncultured bacterium
Lineage: Bacteria
Also listed under: 1 other name
Description: bacterial SSU rRNA
Rfam family: Bacterial small subunit ribosomal RNA
Source: RNAcentral